RNAcentral lists this microRNA (21 nucleotides) under Physcomitrium patens. RNAcentral's name for it is "ppt-miR537d". Its record names the gene ppt-miR537a. The record is from miRBase by way of RNAcentral. Lineage: Eukaryota; Viridiplantae; Streptophyta; Bryopsida; Funariales; Funariaceae.
UUGAGGUGUUUCUACAGGCUA